UAGGGCUACACACGUGCUACAAUGGCAGGUAUAACGCGUUGCCAACUCGCGAGAGUGCGCUAAUCGCUAAAAGCCUGUCCCAGUUCAGAUUGUAGUCUGCAACUCGACUACAUGAAGUUGGAAUCGCUAGUAAUCGCGUAUCAGCAACGACGCGGUGAAUACGUUCCCGGGCCUUGCACACACCGCCCGUCACACCAUGGGAG
This 203-nucleotide ribosomal RNA is filed under the name Ochromonas sp. CCMP1393. RNAcentral's name for it is "partial Bacterial small subunit ribosomal RNA". It matches the Rfam family "Bacterial small subunit ribosomal RNA", at positions 1209 to 1410 of the family's 1533-position model. The record is from RNAcentral. Lineage: Eukaryota; Chrysophyceae; Chromulinales; Chromulinaceae.